UCCUACUAGAUGGACCUGAUAAAAGCA
Molecule: non-coding RNA, 27 nt
Filed under: Mus musculus (house mouse)
Lineage: Eukaryota; Metazoa; Chordata; Mammalia; Rodentia; Muridae
Source: RNAcentral